GCAGCUCUAAGCUGGUCGUAAACUCCAUCUAAGGCUAAAUAUCGCCACGAGACCGAUAGCGAACAAGUACUAUGAGGGAAAGUUGAAAAGAACUUUGAACAGAGAGUUAAAGAGUACGUGAAACCGUUCAGGGGUAAACCUGAGAAACCCAAAAGAUCGAUCGGGGAGAUUUAUCGUUUAGCACUUGUCGGCUUGCGUGUGAUUAACGAUGUCGGUGGCUUCGGUCGCUGGACGCGGUCGCUGCGUCAUGCCCGGCGUCGCCGUCAUGCACUUCUCCCCUAGUAGGACGUCGCAACACGUUGGGCGUCGGCCGACGGCCAGGUCGGUUGACCGUGGCGCAGGCUCUCACGAGUACUUGCGCCAUGGACCGCUAGUGUUUCCCGGCCCGACUGCCCGACGGUAGAGAUUUUUGUCAAUAAGGUAUUGGGCCGCGUUCUAAGCGCGUCUCGGCUCGUCGACAGGCUGGCCUCGCUCGGAUUUACGGACCUU
RNAcentral lists this ribosomal RNA (489 nucleotides) under Trichogramma evanescens. Its description in RNAcentral is "eukaryotic LSU rRNA". It matches the Rfam family "Eukaryotic large subunit ribosomal RNA", at positions 282 to 589 of the family's 3401-position model. The record is from RNAcentral. Lineage: Eukaryota; Metazoa; Arthropoda; Insecta; Hymenoptera; Trichogrammatidae.